This 253-nucleotide ribosomal RNA is filed under the name uncultured bacterium. Its description in RNAcentral is "partial 16S ribosomal RNA". It matches the Rfam family "Bacterial small subunit ribosomal RNA", at positions 524 to 776 of the family's 1533-position model. The record is from RNAcentral.
UACGUGGGUGGCAAGCGUUAUCCGGAUUUAUUGGGCGUAAAGAGAACGCAGGCGGUCUUUUAAGUCUGAUGUGAAAGCCUUCGGCUUAACCGGAGUAGUGCAUUGGAAACUGGGAGACUUGAGUGCAGAAGAGGAGAGUGGAACUCCAUGUGUAGCGGUGAAAUGCGUAGAUAUAUGGAAGAACACCAGUGGCGAAAGUGGCUCUCUGGUCUGUAACUGACGCUGAGGUUCGAAAGCGUGGGUAGCAAACAGG